UGCCGGCGUACCCGGCGGCGCUGCGGGCGCGGUGGAAGGCCUCGAAGAUGUCCGGCUGGUCCUCCGCGGGGAUCCCGAUGCCCCGGUCGGCGA
RNAcentral lists this transfer RNA (93 nucleotides) under Couchioplanes azureus. RNAcentral describes it as "Couchioplanes caeruleus subsp. azureus tRNA-Phe". Lineage: Bacteria; Bacillati; Actinomycetota; Actinomycetes; Micromonosporales; Micromonosporaceae. The record is from RNAcentral.